This 492-nucleotide ribosomal RNA is filed under the name uncultured bacterium. RNAcentral describes it as "partial 16S ribosomal RNA". It matches the Rfam family "Bacterial small subunit ribosomal RNA", at positions 28 to 507 of the family's 1533-position model. The record is from RNAcentral.
AUUGAACGCUGGCGGCAUGCUUUACACAUGCAAGUCGAACGGUAACAGGCCUUCGGGUGCUGAUGAGUGGCGAACGGGCGAGUAAUGCAUCGGAACGUGCCCAGCGGUGGGGGAUAACGCAGCGAAAGCUGAGCUAAUACCGCAUGUGAUCUGAGGAUGAACGCGGGGGAGCAGGCAGCAAAGUUUGGCCUCGCGCGUUUGGAGUGGCCGAUGUUAGAUUAGGUAGUGGGUGGGGUAAAGGCCUACGAAGCCGGCGAUCUGUAGCUGGUCUGAGAGGACGGCCACCCGCACUGGGACUUGGACACGGCCCAGGGGCCUGCGGGACGCAGCAGUGUGGAAUGUUGGACAGUGGGCGGGAGCCUGAUCCAACAGUGCCGCGUGUGGGGAGGAGGCCUUCCGGUUGUGAACCGGUUCUGUACGGAGCGAAAAGGCUCUGGCUAAUACCUGGCGCUGAUGACGGUACCGUAAGAAUAAGCACCGGCUAACUACGUG